GGUUAAGUUAGAAAGGGCGCACGGUGGAUGCCUUGGCACUAGGAGCCGAAGAAGGACGGGACUAACACCGAUAUGCUUUGGGGAGCUGUACGUAAGCGUUGAUCCAGAGAUUUCCGAAUGGGGGAACCCACUAUCUUUAGUCGGAUAGUAUCCUUACGUGAAUACAUAGCGUGAGGAAGGCAGACCCAGGGAACUGAAACAUCUAAGUACCUGGAGGAAGAGAAAGAAAAAUCGAUUUCCUGAGUAGCGGCGAGCGAAACGGAAAGAGCCCAAACCAAGAAGCUUGCUUCUUGGGGUUGUAGGACACUCUAUACGGAGUUACAAAAGAAAGUUAUAAAUGAAGCGGUCUGGAAAGGCCCGCCAAAGACGGUAACAGCCCGGUAGUUGAAAUGGCUUUCCCUCCAGAGUGGAUCCUGAGUACGGCGGAACACGUGAAAUUCCGUCGGAAUCCGGGAGGACCAUCUCCCAAGGCUAAAUACUCCCUAGUGACCGAUAGUGAACCAGUACCGUGAGGGAAAGGUGAAAAGCACCCCGGAAGGGGAGUGAAACAGUUCCUGAAACCGUGUGCCUACAAGUAGUUAGAGCCCGUUAAUGGGUGAUAGCGUGCCUUUUGUAGAAUGAACCGGCGAGUUACGAUUUGUUGCAAGGUUAAGCGGAAAAAGCGGAGCCGUAGCGAAAGCGAGUCUGAAUAGGGCGCAUAAGUAACAGGUCGUAGACCCGAAACCAGGUGAUCUACCCAUGUCCAGGAUGAAGGUAAGGUAAUACUUACUGGAGGUCCGAACCCACGCACGUUGAAAAGUGCGGGGAUGAGGUGUGGGUAGCGGAGAAAUUCCAAUCGAACUUGGAGAUAGCUGGUUCUCUCCGAAAUAGCUUUAGGGCUAGCCUCGAGGUAAAGAGUCAUGGAGGUAGAGCACUGUUUGGACUAGGGGCCCUUCUCGGGUUACCGAAUUCAGAUAAACUCCGAAUGCCAUGUACUUAUACUCGGGAGUCAGACUGCGAGUGAUAAGAUCCGUAGUCGAAAGGGAAACAGCCCAGACCACCAGUUAAGGUCCCCAAAUAUAUGUUAAGUGGAAAAGGAUGUGGGGUUGCUUAGACAACCAGGAUGUUGGCUUAGAAGCAGCCACCAUUGAAAGAGUGCGUAAUAGCUCACUGGUCGAGUGACCCCGCGCCGAAAAUGUACCGGGGCUAAACAUAUUACCGAAACUGUGGAUGAACCUCUUUAGAGGUUCGUGGUAGGAGAGCGUUCUAAGGGCGGUGAAGUCAGACCGGAAGGACUGGUGGAGCGCUUAGAAGUGAGAAUGCCGGUAUGAGUAGCGAAAGAAGGGUGAGAAUCCCUUCCACCGAAUAUCUAAGGUUUCCUGAGGAAGGCUCGUCCGCUCAGGGUUAGUCGGGACCUAAGCCGAGGCCGAUAGGCGUAGGCGAUGGACAACAGGUAGAGAUUCCUGUACCAGUGCUAAUUGUUUAACCGAUGGGGUGACACAGAAGGAUAGGGAAUCGCACGAAUGGAAAUGUGCGUCCAAGCAGUGAGUGUGAGAA
This 1536-nucleotide ribosomal RNA is filed under the name Listeria monocytogenes. RNAcentral describes it as "partial 23S ribosomal RNA". It matches the Rfam family "Bacterial large subunit ribosomal RNA", at positions 1 to 1531 of the family's 2925-position model. The record is from RNAcentral. Lineage: Bacteria; Bacillati; Bacillota; Bacilli; Caryophanales; Listeriaceae.